RNAcentral lists this small nucleolar RNA (86 nucleotides) under Erinaceus europaeus (western European hedgehog). RNAcentral's name for it is "Small nucleolar RNA SNORD14 (ENSEEUG00000018361.1)". It matches the Rfam family "Small nucleolar RNA SNORD14". Rfam says of the family: U14 small nucleolar RNA (U14 snoRNA) is required for early cleavages of eukaryotic precursor rRNAs. Lineage: Eukaryota; Metazoa; Chordata; Mammalia; Eulipotyphla; Erinaceidae. The record is from Rfam by way of RNAcentral.
UCACUGUGAUGAUCGAUUUCCAACAUUCGCAGUUUCCACCAGAAAGUUGGCUGAUGUUGGUCGUUCUUCCUUGGGUGUCUGAGUGA